GCCUGAGUAGCUCAGUUGGUAGAGCAAUGCAUUCGUAAUGCGGAGGUCGUCGGUUCAAGUCCGGCUUCAGGCACCA
Molecule: transfer RNA, 76 nt
Filed under: Verrucomicrobiota bacterium
Lineage: Bacteria; Pseudomonadati; Verrucomicrobiota
Also listed under: 2 other names
Description: Verrucomicrobia bacterium (activated sludge metagenome) tRNA-Thr
Rfam family: tRNA
About the family: Transfer RNA (tRNA) molecules are approximately 80 nucleotides in length. Their secondary structure includes four short double-helical elements and three loops (D, anti-codon, and T loops).
Source: RNAcentral